RNAcentral lists this ribosomal RNA (468 nucleotides) under uncultured bacterium. RNAcentral's name for it is "partial 16S ribosomal RNA". It matches the Rfam family "Bacterial small subunit ribosomal RNA", at positions 28 to 507 of the family's 1533-position model. The record is from RNAcentral.
GACGAACGCUGGCGGCGUGCUUAACACAUGCAAGUCGAACGGAAAGGCCCUGCUUUUGUGGGGUGCUCGAGUGGCGAACGGGUGAGUAACACGUGAGUAACCUGCCCUUGACUUUGGGAUAACUUCAGGAAACUGGGGCUAAUACCGGAUAGGAGCUCCUGCUGCAUGGUGGGGGUUGGAAAGUUUCGGCGGUUGGGGAUGGACUCGCGGCUUAUCAGCUUGUUGGUGGGGUAGUGGCUUACCAAGGCUUUGACGGGUAGCCGGCCUGGGAGGGUGACCGGCCACAUUGGGACUGAGAUACGGCCCAGACUCCUACGGGAGGCAGCGGUGGGGAAUAUUGCACAAUGGGCGGAAGCCUGAUGCAGCAACGCCGCGUGCGGGAUGACGUCCUUCGGGUUGUAAACCGAUUUCGCCUGUGACGAAGCGUGAGUGACGGUAAUGGGUAAAGAAGCACCGGCUAACUACGUG